UGGUUUCGUAGGUGACCUGCGGAGGAUCAUUA
RNAcentral lists this ribosomal RNA (32 nucleotides) under Cortinarius aurantioferreus. RNAcentral describes it as "partial 18S ribosomal RNA". Lineage: Eukaryota; Fungi; Basidiomycota; Agaricomycetes; Agaricales; Cortinariaceae. The record is from RNAcentral.